Molecule: long non-coding RNA, 3469 nt
Filed under: Vitis vinifera (wine grape)
Lineage: Eukaryota; Viridiplantae; Streptophyta; Magnoliopsida; Vitales; Vitaceae
Description: long non-coding RNA (VVIN_LNC004452)
Source: RNAcentral
UGUUUGGGCUCCCUGCUUUUUUAGGCAGCUUAAUGAUUGGGAGGUGGUUCCUGUGGAGUGCUUUUUCCAAAGACUACAAGGGAGGAGGGUGUGUAGGGAUGAUAAGGUGUUUGGACAAAGUCAAAGGAUUGAACAAUUUUUGUUAAAUCCCACUACAAGGCUUUGGAGUCGGAAAGACAAGGCUCUUUUCUAGCUGGUGUAAUUCGGAAUUCAUGGGUGUUGUGGAGGGUGGGAUUCUUUGCUUGGGAGGCUACUUGGAAUAAGGCCUUAACCUUGGAUCAUAUGUAGAGGAGUGGGUAGUCUUUUGCUGGCAGAUGCUUCCUUUAUCUCUUAGAGGAAGAAUCCGUCGACCACAUCCUCAUGCAAUGCGAUAGGGCAAGGGAUUUAUGGUACUUAUUAUUUUUUCUGUUUGGGGUGUCGUUGGUGCUUUCCUUCUCAAUCAGAGUGACAUUGUUAGGAUGACACAAUUCUUUUUUGAGUAAAAAGAGAAAUAAAGUGUAACGGAUUGCUUUUUUAUGCCUUUUCUAGACAAUGUGGAAGGAAAGAAAUAGUAGGGCGUUUGAAAAUGAGGAGCAUUUGGUCUAAAGGCUUAAACUUUCUUUCCUUUAUAAUCUUUGGGUGUGGGCUAAGGUGUAUAUAGUCUAUUGUUGAUUUUGUGGAUUGGUUGGACUCUGAUUGAGGGGGGGGGGGGGGGGGGGGGGGGGGGGGGGGCUUUUUUUUUUUUCCCCCCCUUUUUUUGGGGGGGCUUGAGGGCCUUUUUUUUUUUUUUUAAAAAAAAAAAAAAACCAAACCCCUUUUCCCCAAAAAAAAUUGCCCGCUUCGGAAAAUGUAAUAAAUCCCCCCCUUUUCAGGGGGGGAAACCCCCCCCCCCUUUCCCCCGGGGNNNNNNNNNNNNNNNNNNNNNNNNNNNNNNNNNNNNNNNNNNNNNNNNNNNNNNNNNNNNNNNNNNNNNNNNNNNNNNNNNNNNNNNNNNNNNNNNNNNNGGGGGGGGGGGGGUUGUUUUUUGUUGUUCCCCUUAUUUUUUGUGGUGCUUUAAGGCAUCUUUUAUAUCCUUUAAAAAUAAAAAAAAAGCCAAAGCCUAUUACCACAGAAAAGUUCAAGCAUUGCUUGAACUUGAUUAAUGUCUCCAGUUUCUAGAUGGGAGAUACCCCAACCUAUUGUCCCAGGUGGAGUUAUAAGCUAUGUUUCUUGUCUCCUAAGGGGGGAGUGAAUAUUUACCAAGGUGGAGAUUGUUGUAGUAUGUGGCUCAUAUUUGAGUGAAAAGACAUAUGGAGAAAAAGGAGCAAAUGCUGGAGUGAAGCUUCACUCCGACAUUUGCCAUUUAGGCUUGUACUUCUUUUGUUGUGGGCCGAACGAUAGGUUGGGGGGGUUUAGAGGUAUUUUUGGAAUUUCAUUCCUAAGGGUUAGUAUAAAUACCCUUUUUUAUGUAACCCUAAUUUUAACAUAGUGAAAAUCCUCUUUCCCUGUUCCCGUGGACGUAGGCAAUUAGCUGAACCACGUUAAAUCUCCGUGUUCUUCUUUCUCGUUUUUCUAUUUUUCGCUAUUAAUUGUUGCACGGAUUCCAACAUGGAUUACUCAGCAUUACAAAUUCUCUUGAAAUUUGCAAAUAAUAAUCAUUUAUAUAGCUUUUGGUUCAAAACAUGCCAAGAAACUUACUCAAUUUUGGCUGCUCAAUACUAACCUUAUAGGUUGGGCAUGUGUUUUAUAUUUUGUAAUACACUACUCCAGUGUAUUUUUUAUUUUUUAUUUUUUUUAAAUCAUAUUGCGGCAACCUUAUAUAUUUAUGUAUUUAUGUGCACAUUGUAAUCCCAAAUUUUGAUUGGUUAAAAAACAGGUUGGUUCUGGUGUUGGUUUGGUUGGCAUUUGUCUGGCCCAUGUGAAAGCCUCCAAGGUACUUUAUUCAAAAUUUAUGCUUAUUGUUAGAAGGAAAGCCAAAGUCUUCUCCUUCUACAGCAGCAUUGCUAUAUGAGAAAUAUCUAAAAGAAUCUUGUUCCCUUCCCUCUUUUCUAACAUAUUUCUUUCCCUUGUCCAUGCAUCAUUACUAUGAGCUCUCACAAGUAUGAAGGUGUUUUCUUGCAUGUUCUAUAAUUGGAGAAAUUGGAGAGAAAUUAUGCUAAUUCAUAGGAGUUGAUCUGAAUGCAUUUCACAUCUCAUCAAUUAUAACCAUUCCAUGAUGGACUGCCUGUUUUGGUUGGGUGCAAGGUGGUAGGAUAUUAUAAUCAACCUGAUAUCCUGAGCUUUUAACUGUAAAUAAUAGUUUUUUCAAAUGAAGUGCCAUAAUAUUUUGGUUGACUCAAUUAUGUAGUUAAAUUGGAUUUUGGGGUGAUGAUCCUGUUCUAGAUGUCCAAUCAGGUGUUUAACUGCCUUUACUGAAUUUGCAGAGGUGCAUGGAAAUGUAGGAUAGUUUUAGGCGUCAUAGCUGAAACUUUCUUGAAGUAACAAGUUCAAGAAUGCAAGACAUUGAAUAACUCAAAACAGAUUCCAUAUUGAGGUAAAUUACUCAUGAAGCUAGCAGUUGGAUUCUGUAUUACAUUGUAAACAUUUAUUUAGUAAACUCAACUUAGGAUACAAAAAUGCUUCUUGAUGUCAAUGUAGAAAGAAUUUAAUAAAGAAUAUGCAUUGAACAUGUUUUCUAAGAACCCAACCCAUGCACCCAAUAUCUAUAAGUGAAAAUGUUAAUCACAAUAAUGGACUACACCUAGAGGGGGGUGAAUAGGUGUUGUAGAACAAUUUAAAAAUUCUCCCAACAAAGAUUACCUAACCUUAGACUUUCUCAAUGUCAAGAAACUUCUCUUCCAACAACUAUUCAACAAAGCAAAACAUCCACAAGCAAGAUUGUAUGCACUAACACUCUCCCAACAAUUUAUAAAUGUAAUACACAUGCAAAUGCUUCAAGAAUCCUCAAAAAUAAAUCAAAAGAACAAUUAUCUCCUCAACUCAUAUCAAUUUACUCCAUGAUAUCAUUAACCAAAAUGAGCAAAAAAAUUAUUAAGGAUAUUCCAUGGAUCAUCACACUUAUAUCACCUCAUAUUUCUUCCAUUCAACAUAUAUGCCCAAGUAAUCAAUGAUAUCAAAAACAAAAAUUAAAUCAAAGUGUAGUGAGAGAAAGAGACGAUUAACACCGGAUUUUAACGUGGAAAACCUCCGAAGAGAUCAAAAACCACGGGCCUACCACUGAUUGAAAAACUCCACUAUGAAGAAUAAAAACCAAGUACAAGGUUUUACCUAGCUUAAUGUCACGGACUUAGUCGUUCACUAAGCUCGUGCGGCACUUAGACAAGCCAAGACGCUUGAUCUUGCUAAGUCAGCCUUGCUCCCCAACGCUUAGCUUGCUAAGCUAAGACACUCGCGACUCAAAAGCUUAAGAAGCUUGGUAGGCAACUCCUUAAAGAAUGGAAGCUCUAUUAUCUCAAGAAAGCCUUUACAAGUGCUUGGAUGCUCACUUGCUUGGUGCCUUGGCCAAAUGAGG